CCUACGGGGGGCAGCAGUGGGGAAUAUUGGACAAUGGGGGCAACCCUGAUCCAGCCAUGCCGCGUGUGUGAAGAAGGCCCUCGGGUUGUAAAGCACUUUCAGUGAGGAAGAACGCCUGGUGGUUAAUACCCAUCAGGAAAGACAUCACUCACAGAAGAAGCACCGGCUAACUCCGUGCCAGCAGCCGCGGUAAUACGGAGGGUGCGAGCGUUAAUCGGAAUUACUGGGCGUAAAGCGCGCGUAGGUGGCUUGAUAAGCCGGUUGUGAAAGCCCCGGGCUCAACCUGGGAACGGCAUCCGGAACUGUCAAGCUAGAGUGCAGGAGAGGAAGGUAGAAUUCCCGGUGUAGCGGUGAAAUGCGUAGAGAUCGGGAGGAAUACCAGUGGCGAAGGCGGCCUUCUGGACUGACACUGACACUGAGGUGCGAAAGCGUGGGUAGCAAACAGGAUUAGAUACCCUUGUGGUC
This 465-nucleotide ribosomal RNA is filed under the name Vreelandella stevensii. Its description in RNAcentral is "partial 16S ribosomal RNA". It matches the Rfam family "Bacterial small subunit ribosomal RNA", at positions 338 to 795 of the family's 1533-position model. Lineage: Bacteria; Pseudomonadati; Pseudomonadota; Gammaproteobacteria; Oceanospirillales; Halomonadaceae. The record is from RNAcentral.